RNAcentral lists this ribosomal RNA (278 nucleotides) under uncultured bacterium. RNAcentral's name for it is "partial 16S ribosomal RNA". It matches the Rfam family "Bacterial small subunit ribosomal RNA", at positions 524 to 793 of the family's 1533-position model. The record is from RNAcentral.
UACGAAGGGGGCUAGCGUUGUUCGGAAUUACUGGGCGUAAAGGGCGCGUAGGCGGUGUGUCAAGUCAGGCGUGAAAGCCCCCGGGCUCAACCUGGGAACAGCGCUUGAGACUGGCACGCUCGAGUUCGGGGAGAGGAUGGUGGAAUUCCCAGUGUAGAGGUGAAAUUCGUGAGAUAUUGGGAAGAACACCAGUGGCGAAGGCGGCUCAACUGGCCCGAUACUGACGCUGAGGCACGGAAAGCGUGGGGAGCCAAACAGGGAUUAAGAAACCCCCGGAU